Chionomys nivalis (European snow vole) is the source of this 1020-nucleotide long non-coding RNA. RefSeq lists it as uncharacterized. The record is from RefSeq and is a predicted model, not a curated record. The transcript is spliced from 5 exons. Lineage: Eukaryota; Metazoa; Chordata; Mammalia; Rodentia; Cricetidae.
CACCAAGCCUCAGUCAGCAGCAAACGGGGGUCUGCUGACCCGAGUUCAUGGCUGGUCAUCCCAUCUAUCUGUGCCUGUCCAGAUCUCAGGGUGAAGUUCUCUGAUCCAUGCCAUUGCUUCCUGAUGGUACAGAGGAGGCGAGAUGGAAACUGAGGCUUAAACCGAGAAAGCCAAGAAAGGAGACACCUCACCUCCUCAUUGAGUUGCCUGUCAGCACAGACAGGGAGAAGUCUGUGUGUUGAUUGAGCAUCAUAGAACCACAAAAGUUCAUGAGAAAUUGGAGAUGAUAGUCUAUUCCUGUGAUCCUGGCUCUGGGGAAACUGAGGCAAAAGAAUCAUAGGUUUGAGGCCAGUCUGAGCUACAGAACAAGACCCUGUCUCAAACCCCAAUAUAAAAAGUCAUCCCCCCCGGCCGAAUGCUGAGUGAGAAAAGACCACAUUGAUGUCUCUCAGAGCUUGCUCUACAGGUGGGCGCACGUGUGUGGAGGCCUGAGGUCUAUGUCAGGAUCCUUCCUCAGUCGCUAUUCCACCUUAUUCUGUUGAGUCAAGGUCUGUCAGUCAAACCCAGAGCUUGCUCUGGGGAUCCUAUCUCUGUCUUCUGAAGCUGCAAUCACAGGUGGAGCUGUUGAUUGGGGGCAGCCUAGAAGCAUGGGGACCUGGGUCCACCGCGCAGCACCCAGCCGUCUGAAUGCCAAAGGCACACAAGGGUCUGGCUGGUGGCAGGGUCACGUCGAGGAUUCGAAGCAAUUUCAGGUCCGCUGUGGGUUUCGUUUAUCUCUCCCGGGCAGGCCUCUGGCCGUAUUCGAGGCCUGUGGACAAAAGUCCAGGAGUUGAAGAAUACUUGUUUCUGGAUGGAAACUCUGGCUCCCGUACUCACCCGUCGGUGGAGGCCGUGACCAGGGCCACCUUAUUCGCUAGCGGGUUUCGGCGAGUCACCCCGGAGCUGGCCAUCCUCACCGACUUCCACGCUCGAGUCCAGCCACCUAGCAGCAGUCUCGCUUUCUGCAUGGGUCAGGCGGGG